This 248-nucleotide ribosomal RNA is filed under the name uncultured Eubacteriales bacterium. RNAcentral describes it as "uncultured Clostridiales bacterium partial 16S ribosomal RNA". It matches the Rfam family "Bacterial small subunit ribosomal RNA", at positions 524 to 771 of the family's 1533-position model. Lineage: Bacteria; Bacillati; Bacillota; Clostridia; Eubacteriales. The record is from RNAcentral.
UACGUAGGGGGCGAGCGUUGUCCGGAAUGACUGGGCGUAAAGGGAGUGUAGGCGGCCAAAUAAGUUAGAUGUGAAAUCCCGCGGCUUAACCGCGGAACUGCAUCUAAAACUGUAUGGCUGGAGUGCAGGAGAGGUGAGCGGAAUUCCUAGUGUAGCGGUGGAAUGCGUAGAUAUUAGGAGGAACACCAGAGGCGAAGGCGGCUCACUGGACUGUAACUGACGCUGAGGCUCGAAAGCGUGGGGAGCAA